RNAcentral lists this ribosomal RNA (483 nucleotides) under uncultured bacterium. RNAcentral's name for it is "bacterial LSU rRNA". It matches the Rfam family "Bacterial large subunit ribosomal RNA", at positions 2170 to 2649 of the family's 2925-position model. The record is from RNAcentral.
UCGCGCGGACGCCGAACCUUACGUAAAGUAACCCUAUCCUGGUGUCGUUGAGGUUCUAACCUUGGUCCGUGAAUCCGGAUCGGGGACCGUGCAUGGCAGGCAGUUUGACUGGGGCGGUCUCCUCCCAAAGAGUAACGGAGGAGUACGAAGGUCUUCUAAGCACGGUCGGACAUCGUGCUCAUAGUGCAAUGGCAAAAGAAGGCUUGACUGCGAGUCCAACAAGACGAGCAGGUGCGAAAGCAGGUCAUAGUGAUCCGGUGGUUCUGUAUGGAAGGGCCAUCGCUCAACGGAUAAAAGGUACUCUGGGGAUAACAGGCUGAUUCCGCCCAAGAGUUCAUAUCGACGGCGGAGUUUGGCACCUCGAUGUCGGCUCAUCACAUCCUGGGGCUGUAGCCGGUCCCAAGGGUAUGGCUGUUCGCCAUUUAAAGUGGUACGUGAGCUGGGUUAAAACGUCGUGAGACAGUUUGGUCCCUAUCUGCCGUG